CUAGGAUAUAAAAAGUUCUAGAAAAUAAAAAAGAAAGAAUUUAUUAAUAGGCUUUUGAAAUAGAACUGCCACCCUCUAUGUUUUUCUUCACCUCCCCUCAUUUCUAAAAAAAAAAAGAAAAAGAAAAAAAAAAAAAGAAGAACAACAUAAACCCAAAGCUAGCAGAAGAAUGGAAAGAAUAAAGAUUAGAACAGUGAUAAGUGAAAUAG
This 209-nucleotide long non-coding RNA is filed under the name Homo sapiens (human). RNAcentral describes it as "non-protein coding lnc-MANEA-10:1". Lineage: Eukaryota; Metazoa; Chordata; Mammalia; Primates; Hominidae. The record is from RNAcentral.